RNAcentral lists this ribosomal RNA (116 nucleotides) under Periophthalmus magnuspinnatus. The record is from RNAcentral. Lineage: Eukaryota; Metazoa; Chordata; Actinopteri; Gobiiformes; Gobiidae.
UUUUGUGGCUAAACCUCCUUGUCAGAGCCUGAGCUUGUCAGAUCUCACACUAAGCAAGGUCAGAGCUGAUUAGAACUUGGAUGGGAGACUGCUGCAAAGACCAGGUGGCACAGUCG